This 431-nucleotide unclassified non-coding RNA is filed under the name soil metagenome. RNAcentral describes it as "partial contains 5.8S ribosomal RNA, internal transcribed spacer 2, and large subunit ribosomal RNA". The stretch from base 1 to 119 matches the Rfam family "5.8S ribosomal RNA", at positions 35 to 154 of the family's 154-position model. The record is from RNAcentral.
GAUGAAAACGUAGCGAAAUGCGAUACGUAAUGUGAAUUGCAGAAUUCAGUGAAUCAUCGAAUCUUUGAACGCAUAUUGCGCUCUCUGGUAUUCCGGAGAGCAUGCUUGUUUGAGUAUCAGUAAACACCUCAACUUCCAUAUCUUUUUUGAAAUGGGAGUUGGACUUGAGUGAUCCCAACGCUUUUCCUCACCGAAAAGUGGCGGGUUACUUGAAAUGCAGGUGCAGCUGGACUUUUCUCUGAGCUAUAAGCAUAUCUAUUUAGUCUGCCUAAAAAACAGAUUAUUACCUUUGCUGCAGCUAACAUAAAGGAGAUUAGUUCUUGUGCUGACUGAUGCAGGAUUCACAAAGACGGCUUCGGCCGACUUUGUAAACUCGAUCUCAAAUCAAGUAAGACUACCCGCUGAACUUAAGCAUAUCAAUAAGCGGAGGA